This is a long non-coding RNA of Dendronephthya gigantea, 537 nucleotides long. RefSeq lists it as uncharacterized. NCBI's taxonomy places the organism in Eukaryota, Metazoa, Cnidaria, Anthozoa, Malacalcyonacea, Nephtheidae. The transcript is spliced from 3 exons. The record is from RefSeq and is a predicted model, not a curated record.
AAUUAUCACGCAGAGGCCACAGAAAGAGGGAAACAGUAGCUUUCAGUUUUAUUCACAAGACCUGAAGGCGACUGGCUGGCAGUGGAAAACGAACCUAAAAGAAAACAAUAAUGAGUGUUCGAGUGUCUUCUUUUCUCUUGCUAUUGGUGGUUGCACUUGCUACAGCGAGAACGUGGGGAAAGUCGUUCGAGUUUAACGACCGAGCCGAUAUAUCACGUUGUGAACGCGAAGGUGAUGAUGAGUGCAAGUGUGAAAAGUACUACGAAGGAAUUGAAGGACAGGGUUGCUCAGAAGUUCGCCACAAUUGCGAUGAUUCUCGAACCUGUUACAUGAACCAUCAAUGGCAUGCCUGUUGUUUGGAUUAGGUAGAAGAGGCUCGAGCGCCGAAUGAUAGCUCAUUUGAAAACAUGCUCUUUAAAAGUAUAUAAUAAAACUAGAACUAGAGACAGCACUGCACAUUUCGUGUUUAAUAAUAUGGGCACUAUUACUACUGGGUGCUAUAGAUUCCAAAAUAUAUGUGUUUUACCUUCUUCAAAA